RNAcentral lists this ribosomal RNA (480 nucleotides) under uncultured bacterium. Its description in RNAcentral is "partial 16S ribosomal RNA". It matches the Rfam family "Bacterial small subunit ribosomal RNA", at positions 28 to 507 of the family's 1533-position model. The record is from RNAcentral.
GACGAACGCUGGCGGCGUGCUUAACACAUGCAAGUCGAACGAUGAAGAAAAGAAUUGAAGCUUCGGCAGAAAUUCAUUUCGGAUUAGUGGCAGACGGGUGAGUAACGCGUGAGCAACCUACCUCUUACAAAGGGAUAGCCUCGGGAAACCGGGAUUAAUACCAUAUAACAUUGCGACGAAGCAUUUCGAUGCAAUCAAAGCUACGGCGGUAAGAGAUGGGCUCGCGUCCCAUUAACCAGAUGGUGAGGUAACGGCUCACCAUAGUAACGAUGGGUAACCGGCCUGAGAGGGUGAACGGUCACACUGGAACUGAGACACGGUCCAGACUCCUACGGGAGGCAGCAGUGGAGAAUAUUGCACAAUGGAGGGAACUCUGAUGCAGCGACGCCGCGUGAGUGAUGAAGGAAUUCGUUUCGUAAAACUCUGUUCUAUGGGAAGAAAAGGACUGUACCAUAGGAGAAAGCUCCGGCUAAAUACGUG